CUGGGGGCUCAACCCCAGCCCUGCAGUGGGUACGGGCAGACUAGAGUGCGGUAGGGAGAUUGGGAAUUCCUGGUGUAGCGGUGGAAUGCGCAGAUAUCAGGAGGAACACCGAUGGCGAAGGCAGAUCUCUGGGCCGUAACUGACGCUGAGGAGCGAAAGCAUGGGGAGCGAACAGGAUUAGAUACCCUGGUAGUCCAUGCCGUAAACGUUGGGAACUAGAUGUAGGGGCCAUUCCACGGUUUCUGUGUCGCAGCUAACGCAUUAAGUUCCCCGCCUGGGGAGUACGGCCGCAAGGCUAAAACUCAAAGGAAUUGACGGGGGCCCGCACAAGCGGCGGAGCAUGCGGAUUAAUUCGAUGCAACGCGAAGAACCUUACCAAGGCUUGACAUAUACCGGAAACGUCCAGAGAUGGUCGCCCCGCAAGGUCGGUAUACAGGUGGUGCAUGGUUGUCGUCAGCUCGUGUCGUGAGAUGUUGGGUUAAGUCCCGCAACGAGCGCAACCCUCGUUCUAUGUUGCCAGCACGUUAUGGUGGGAACUCAUAGGAGACUGCCGGGGUCAACUCGGAGGAAGGUGGGGAUGACGUCAAAUCAUCAUGCCCCUUAUGUCUUGGGCUUCACGCAUGCUACAAUGGCCGAUACAAAGGGCUGCAAUACCGUAAGGUGGAGCGAAUCCCAAAAAGUCGGUCUCAGUUCGGAUUGAGGUCUGCAACUCGACCUCAUGAAGUCGGAGUCGCUAGUAAUCGCAGAUCAGCAACGCUGCGGUGAAUACGUUCCCGGGCCGUGUACACACCGCCCGUCAAGUCAUGAAAGUCG
Molecule: ribosomal RNA, 813 nt
Filed under: Frondihabitans sp.
Lineage: Bacteria; Bacillati; Actinomycetota; Actinomycetes; Micrococcales; Microbacteriaceae
Description: bacterial SSU rRNA
Rfam family: Bacterial small subunit ribosomal RNA
Source: RNAcentral